Cavia porcellus (domestic guinea pig) is the source of this 1309-nucleotide long non-coding RNA. RefSeq lists it as uncharacterized. The transcript is spliced from 5 exons. The record is from RefSeq and is a predicted model, not a curated record. Lineage: Eukaryota; Metazoa; Chordata; Mammalia; Rodentia; Caviidae.
AUCCUUCCUUAUUUACCUGUGCAAACACACUCCCUGCUUCCUCAGUCCUCGGCCGGGCUCCUGCUUAACCCUUCCAGGGCCCCUGCUUGCCCAGGGGUCAGGGCCUGGCGGCGGGCUGGGGGCUCCCCCACACCCACCCCUUCCUCCACCUGCGGAGCCUGGCUGCCUGGCAAGGCACGAGCAUGUAGCACCUGGGGCUGGCUGGAGGGACGGUGGGCGGGGACCUCAGGUUCCAGGAUGGCUGCGCCCAACAGUGGACCCCAGAGGCCCAGCCCUCCAGGUUCCUUUGCUUCCAGGAGGACUCCCCAACCCAGUGCUCCGAGGCUCUCACACCGAUGGCCCCUCUAAGACGCAUCUGCUGUUUGCUGGCCCUGCUGGACCCCUCGACAUCUCGGGCACUGAUGCAGGGUCUCCUCAUGCAGUUCAGCCUGGCCUUGGCUCAUUUUGCAGCCCAGGCUGGUCUUGAACUUGCAGUGAUCCUCCUGCCUCAGCUCCCGAUUGCUGGGAUGACAGGUCAGGAGCGGUGCAGCCUCGGGGUGCCAGGUCACAGUCUGAGACUCGUCCAUGUGAGCCAGGUGCUCUGAUGGCCUCUGAGGGAUCUCGGACUCCUGUCUCCUUCCCCGGCCUGGAGACUCUCUCACCUGGGCCUCGCUGGGCCCUCUCGUCAUUUUUGCUAAGCACACCAUGGAAGCCAGCGGUCCUCCAAGGUCGAGGUUGCCCUGGCAGCCCCACCUGCACAGGCUCUCGUGCAGCCCCCGGGGAAUCCUGGGGUGCGGGCGAUGUCACAGACAGCACCAGGACAGAUGAACGAAAUGCGUGGUGACAACAGGAAAAGGCUGGGACCCGCUCUGCCUCCAGGAGACACAGUAACGGCAGGAGCUUCGAGCAGACAGAGCUGAAACGGCUCAGCGGGGCCUGGAGGGUGCACGGGACACAGCAGCAGCACCCAGAAAGUGCUCAGCACCCUCGGCCUCAACCCCAACCCCAAAGCCGCUGCCGUGAGAUGGAAAUGGAACCCAGGGCCUGCAUUGCAUCCCGGCUCACUUUUGUUCGGAGACAGGGUCUCACUAGGUCUCAGUUGCGCAGACUGGGCUCACAGUUGCAGUCCUCCUGCCUCAGCCUCCCAGGGUGCCGGGGUUACCGGUGUGCACUGCCACCCCUGGCGUGGCUCCUCUGGAAGGCAUCUCUCCCAAGCAGCCCUUUCCAGUCCUGCCUUCAUGGAUCCCCAGGUGGGGCCCAGCACAGAUUCAGCAUUAUUAAACGGCCCUCCUGGCCUGUGACCCCCACAGACAGACAGGGUUUUGCGGCA